RNAcentral lists this long non-coding RNA (1826 nucleotides) under Mus musculus (house mouse). RNAcentral describes it as "long non-coding RNA chr8:107361571-107363397". Lineage: Eukaryota; Metazoa; Chordata; Mammalia; Rodentia; Muridae. The record is from RNAcentral.
AGAUAAGUAUAUUUUAGAGAGUAGUCUGCUGGUUAUAAAAAAUUAACCUAGGGUUCUAGUAAACAAGCCAAUGACAUGCUAAGAAAUUACUCCAAUUAAAGAUUAUUAGAAUAUGUAUUUUACCAAAAUGAAUAAAUUGAACAAAAUAUAUGACUUUUAUUUUUAAUAUCAGCAGCUGGUGCUUUGAAUGUAAAUGUGAAAAAGGAGAUAUCUAGUCCAGCAAGACCUUGCUCUUUUGAAGAAGCCAUGAAAGGUAACAAGUUGAUUUUUCUCAAAAACUAAUUUUGCCCUCCUGUGUGUUUACCAGCAAAACCUUAAUGCUUUGUUUUCUCUGAUCUAAUGUGAUACUUAGCAAGGUGUUUUCCAAAUUAUAAAAUAAAUACUUGUUUAACUUCACUGAUGCAGAGACUUAUUUUUCAACUUGAUAUUUCCCUUCAUUUAGCAUAUAAAAACAAAACAAAAACCCAUAAUAGACCAGACAUGGUGGUGCAUACUUGUAAUCCUAGCACUUGGGAGGCAAGGGGAUCAUGAGUUCAAAAUUACCAAGACCUUGUCUCAAAAUAACAACUAAUAUGUUUGAGUAGAGGAGUGUGGUUUCUUCAGUUUAACCCUUAUGGGCCUUCAAGAUGGCUCAGUGGAUAAGGUACUUGCCACCAGUUCCAAUGACCUGGGUUUAAUCCCCAAAACACACGGGGAUUGUGGAAAAAGGGGACCAACUCUCACAAGUAGCUGACCUUCACAUGUAUCAUGGCAGUUGGAUACCCACACAUACACACAAGAUAAAUAUAUAAAUAGAAAAACACCAAAAUAAAGCCCAAAUCCCAUAAAAGUAAUGAGAAUAAGUCAUACAGUUGUGCUUUUUACUGAGACUGAAGAGACUAAAAUAUGAACUGUAGGUGUUUGAAGAGUUACUUUGGGAUCUAACCAUUCUUAAGUCUGACAUGUUUAUUUACUUCUCUACCAAUUUAAAAAACAUCAAAACAGUGAAGACCAGGAGUGAUAGAUAGCACAUUCCUACAGUGUCUUGUUUUGUUUUGUUUUUUUCUUUCUUUUUUUUUCCGAGAUAGGGUUUCUCUGUGUAGCCCUGGCUGUUCUGGCACUCACUCUGUAGACCAGGCUGGCCUCUAACUCAGAAAUCCACCUGCCUCUGCCUCCCGAGUGCUGGGAUUAAAGGCGUGCGCCACCACUACCCGGCAUUCCUACAGUGUCAGUGCUCUGGUAUCUGAGACAGAAAUUUCAUGCACUCAAGACCCAUCUAGCCUUUAUACUAAGACUUGUCUCCAAAAACCCAAGUUCAAAAGAAGCAAUGGUUAUAAACCAACUUAAGUUUGUUACAAUGUGGUAAGGCAGAUUAUUGUCCACAAUUACAGUAUGUGGUGAUGGUGCUUUUAUGCCUUUAUCUAUGAAGAUACAGAUUACACAAUGACACAGUUCUAUAAUUCAUGAGUCAGUCUGCCUCCAGAAAUGGCAACAGUGGAUCCCAGUGCAUCAUCCCUGUGCCAUACCACACAACAGCAAGUCAGCCUUCUCUGUACUGACAAUCCAUGCAAGCUCAGUUAUUUCCUUUCUCUUACCCAGCCCAGAAGCACUAGCACUCCACCUAACUAGAACACCUAAGCUAGGGAUCUUACAGCUUUCUACCUACUAACAAAAGCCAGUCUAAGCUAAUGAGAGCCAGGUGUGGAAGCCCAUGCUUUUAAUGCCAGCACUUGUGAGGCAGAGGUAGGUAGAUUUUUGUGAGUUGCCUGGUCUACAUAGUAAGUUCCAAGACAGCCAGGGCUAUGUAGAGACCCCAUCUAAAAAAAAAAAAAAACAACAACAACAAC